Molecule: transfer RNA, 71 nt
Filed under: Phrynocephalus golubewii
Lineage: Eukaryota; Metazoa; Chordata; Lepidosauria; Squamata; Agamidae
Description: tRNA-Trp
Source: RNAcentral
AGAAGUUUAGGAUUAAAUAUCAAACCAGUGGCCUUCAAAACAACAAACAAGGGAAUAGCCCUUAACUUCUG